GGGGUCAUAGCUCAAUUGGUAGAGCAGAGCCUUUGCAAGGCUAAGGUUGCGGGUUCAAGUCCUGUUGGCUCCAC
Molecule: transfer RNA, 74 nt
Filed under: compost metagenome
Description: tRNA-Ala
Rfam family: tRNA
About the family: Transfer RNA (tRNA) molecules are approximately 80 nucleotides in length.
Source: RNAcentral